AUGAGAUUGCAUAUAUAUCCUGUUCAGUUAAGUCUUGUUCCUUCGGUGUGUGUUGAACUGUCAAUCUACAAGUUUCACUUGUCGAAAACUCUGAAGCUUCUUGCGGAGAAGUUGAUUUGCAGAAUGGUAUGUGAGACUUCACAGCCUUCACAGCCUUCACUUGAGGAGCACACUGAAACUGAGAUUCCUGCUGAAGCUGUCAUUUCCCCUUGUUUCAGGUACAUCUGCUGCUCUAAUAACAGCGAAACCGGUGGCGCUGUCAUACCUCCCCGUCCCUCCGACCACCGCGACAUGGGACUCCUCCUGACCGUUGUGAUGGAUUCCGAAGAACCUGAUGCUGUCUUCCGCGCCAUCGCCGGUGAACAGGGCCUUCACUGCAACUAUAUGGUUGCUGUUAUCAUCCAAGCUGGUGACAAGAACGCCCUGCAGCUUCCCAGCCAAGGGCAGCCCAAACUCUCUCUUUCCAUGGAACUGCUCGUCGACGACGGUCACCGUGCCGGGGCGGAGCGCCCCAGGCCGCGUCAAGGUGCGUAG
RNAcentral lists this ribosomal RNA (534 nucleotides) under Triticum aestivum (bread wheat). RNAcentral's name for it is "partial small subunit ribosomal RNA". The record is from RNAcentral. Lineage: Eukaryota; Viridiplantae; Streptophyta; Magnoliopsida; Poales; Poaceae.